RNAcentral lists this ribosomal RNA (229 nucleotides) under uncultured bacterium. RNAcentral describes it as "partial 16S ribosomal RNA". It matches the Rfam family "Bacterial small subunit ribosomal RNA", at positions 524 to 748 of the family's 1533-position model. The record is from RNAcentral.
UACGUAGGGUGCAAGCGUUGUCCGGAAUUAUUGGGCGUAAAGAGCUCGUAGGCGGUCUGUUGCGUCGGCUGUGAAAACCCGGGGCUCAACUCCGGGCCUGCAGCCGAUACGGGCAGACUAGAGUUCGGCAGGGGAGACUGGAAUUCCUGGUGUAGCGGUGAAAUGCGCAGAUAUCAGGAGGAACACCCGGUGGCGGAAGGCGGCCCCUCUGGGCCGGGCCUGACGCGUG